AACGAACGCUGGCGGCAGGCCUAAUACAUGCAAGUCGAACGCACCGCAAGGUGAGUGGCAGACGGGUGAGUAACGCGUGGGAAUCUUCCUUGCAGUACGGAAUAACUCCGGGAAACCGGUGCUAAUACCGUAUACGUCCUUCGGGAGAAAGAUUUAUCGCUGCAAGAUGAGCCCGCGUCGGAUUAGCUAGUUGGUGGGGUAAAGGCCUACCAAGGCUACGAUCCGUAGCUGGUCUGAGAGGAUGAUCAGCCACACUGGGACUGAGACACGGCCCAGACUCCUACGGGAGGCAGCAGUAGGGAAUAUUGGACAAUGGGCGCAAGCCUGAUCCAGCCAUGCCGCGUGAGUGAAGAAGGCCUUAGGGUUGUAAAGCUCUUUUGGCGGGGAAGAUAAUGACGGUACCCGCAGAAUAAGCUCCGGCUAACUUCGUGCCAGCCGCCGCAGUAA
Molecule: ribosomal RNA, 447 nt
Filed under: uncultured bacterium
Lineage: Bacteria
Description: partial 16S ribosomal RNA
Rfam family: Bacterial small subunit ribosomal RNA
Source: RNAcentral